RNAcentral lists this long non-coding RNA (393 nucleotides) under Olea europaea (common olive). RNAcentral's name for it is "long non-coding RNA (OEUR_LNC015259)". The record is from RNAcentral. Lineage: Eukaryota; Viridiplantae; Streptophyta; Magnoliopsida; Lamiales; Oleaceae.
UUAGAAUUUUUUUUAUAUUUCAAGAAAAUAAUUCUGAACCAUUAAAUUGAAGAGCACAGAGAAAUAAACGCUUGUGAUUUGGAAAUUCUUCUCUCAAUGUUGAAGACCUCAUGUUUGAUUUGAGGAACAAUUAGUGUGAUCUGAAAUUUCUUUGAUUUGAUUUUGCAGGAGUUAACUUUGGGUGAAAUAGAAAGUGAGAAGAGAAGGCAGAAGGGAAGAAACGUGCUGGAAGAAAUAGAUUUCUUUCAUAUGUUCUGAAGGGUAAAAGAGUAAAUAGCAAUAUUCAUAUUUUUCAAUGUAAAAUCUGGUCGAAGGCUAAAAACAAGUUUUUGAAUAUCUAUUUCUUUGGACUUUUAAUUAUUGAUUCUCACAAAUUCUAGUAAAUGAUAGGAC